RNAcentral lists this ribosomal RNA (497 nucleotides) under uncultured bacterium. Its description in RNAcentral is "partial 16S ribosomal RNA". It matches the Rfam family "Bacterial small subunit ribosomal RNA", at positions 28 to 507 of the family's 1533-position model. The record is from RNAcentral.
GAUGAACGCUGGCGGCGUGCCUAAUACAUGCAAGUCGAGCGAACAGACGAGGAGCUUGCUCCUCUGACGUUAGCGGCGGACGGGUGAGUAACACGUGGAUAACCUACCUAUAAGACUGGGAUAACUUCGGGAAACCGGAGCUAAUACCGGAUAACAUGUUGAACCGCAUGGUUCAACAGUGAAAGACGGUCUUGCUGUCACUUAUAGAUGAAUCCGCGCCGCAUUAGCUAGUUGGUAAGGUAACGGCUUACCAAGGCAACGAUGCGUAGCCGACCUGAGAGGGUGAUCGGCCACACUGGAACUGAGACACGGUCCAGACUCCUACGGGAGGCAGCAGUAGGGAAUCUUCCGCAAUGGGCGAAAGCCUGACGGAGCAACGCCGCGUGAGUGAAGAAGGUCUUCGGAUCGUAAAACUCUGUUAUUAGGGAAGAACAAAUGUGUAAGUAACUAUGCACGUCUUGACGGUACCUAAUCAGAAAGCCACGGCUAACUACGUG